GCGCACCCUCCCCAAUUGGAUGGGUAGAUGGAUACAUGGAUCGAUGUAUAUGGAAGUACAUAGAAGCUAUACAUCGAACAGCUGGUAGCAUAGUAGUUAGAAGUGCUGCCUUUGGACCCAAAGGUUACAGGCUCGGAGUCAAAAAUGUAAAUUAGUUGCACGCAGGACACCAGGAGUAAUGACGGAACUCAGUACAAGAUGCUCUGGAGGGUGAGGAAUGAGUUCACUAAAAGCUUUGGUUUGCACAGGUUUUAUGUAGCUUUUAAAAAUAAUUUAAAGUGUCACAAAUUGGGUAGCACCCAGUCACAUAUCAGGGACCAAAAGAUAUAAGUAUAAUUUUCUAAGGGCUACUACCAUUUGUGCCUGGUCCCAGUGGAAGGUGGCUGAGGAGACAUGGGAAGAAAGCUCGUUUUGUUGGCUUUGGUUUUACAGCUCUGUGUCUUUAAUUUAGAUUAGAUUUAGUUGCUGCUUUCUUCUGUUUUCUUGAGUUGUUGGCUCUUUUGUUAGUCUUGUUUUCACUCCUCAUGUUUUAUGGGAAAGAAUAAAAGAGCCACAGAUCCUCCUACAGUCAUUCCUUGCCUGGUCACCUCAUGAUCCUGGCAUGCCCAGCAUGUUACACUUCUUCACUUUUUGUUACACUUUUACACCUUCCAUGUGUGCAACUUUUCAUUCUUCACCCAAAGCAUAUAAAUCUUCUUGCUUCAACAAAGCUGUCCUUUCUUCAACCUGGAUCUGUCUUUUGCUUGGGCAGCACCGUUGCUAUAGAAGUAGUUGUGUUGUAGUUACUAAGAGUACUGAAUGUAACACGAGGUUGGUAGUGGAUUCCUUUCUUGCAUUCUCUGAGCCUGGACGUGAAUUUCAGUUCCUCUGAAUGGAAUAUACGAUGGAGAAAUAAGACGAUGUGUGCUCAACAUAUAGCAGGAUAUUACAGGACACAGAGCACAAUACUCCAGUGGAGCGCUUCCAGCAUGUGUUCACACAAUGCCUUGCCUGGAGUUCUCCAAGAGACAUGCCCCCAAAAGCCGGGAGCAAGAAAUGAAGCCCACAGUGAAGAUAUUACUGGGCACCCAACAACUGCUCUGAGCAAGAUGGCAGAGGACAGCAUAACAAGGAGGCAGGUUGACAGUCUGGAGUCUGAUAACAGCCAGCGAUGCAGUAACUUGUACCUGCGCAGCGACCUGAGCCGGCCACUGCUGGAUGACAUGGACAUUGACGUAAUGACCAACACUGAGAUUGCUGACCACAUUGGUAAACCUUCUAUAUCCCUCUGA
This 1271-nucleotide long non-coding RNA is filed under the name Scleropages formosus (Asian bonytongue). RNAcentral describes it as "lncRNA (ENSSFOG00015031884.1)". Lineage: Eukaryota; Metazoa; Chordata; Actinopteri; Osteoglossiformes; Osteoglossidae. The record is from RNAcentral.